GACACGGUGGCCGAGCGGUUAUGGCGAUUGACUUGAAAUCAAUUUCAUGAAAAUGAGCGCAGGUUCGAUUCCUGUCCGUGUCU
RNAcentral lists this transfer RNA (83 nucleotides) under Formivibrio sp. Its description in RNAcentral is "tRNA-Ser". It matches the Rfam family "tRNA". From Rfam's summary of the family: Transfer RNA (tRNA) molecules are approximately 80 nucleotides in length. Their secondary structure includes four short double-helical elements and three loops (D, anti-codon, and T loops). The record is from RNAcentral. Lineage: Bacteria; Pseudomonadati; Pseudomonadota; Betaproteobacteria; Neisseriales; Chitinibacteraceae.